GAGUAAUGUCUGGGAAACUGCCUGAUGGAGGGGGAUAACUACUGGAAACGGUGGCUAAUACCGCAUAACGUCGCAAGACCAAAGAGGGGGACCUUCGGGCCUCUUGCCAUCAGAUGUGCCCAGAUGGGAUUAGCUUGUUGGUGAGGUAACGGCUCACCAAGGCGACGAUCCCUAGCUGGUCUGAGAGGAUGACCAGCCACACUGGAACUGAGACACGGUCCAGACUCCUACGGGAGGCAGCAGUGGGGAAUAUUGCACAAUGGGCGCAAGCCUGAUGCAGCCAUGCCGCGUGUAUGAAGAAGGCCUUCGGGUUGUAAAGUACUUUCAGCGGGGAGGAAGGUGUUGUGGUUAAUAACCGCAGCAAUUGACGUUACCCGCAGAAGAAGCACCGGCUAACUCCGUGCCAGCAGCCGCGGUAAUACGGAGGGUGCAAGCGUUAAUCGGAAUUACUGGGCGUAAAGCGCACGCAGGCGGUCUGUCAAGUCGGAUGUGAAAUCCCCGGGCUCAACCUGGGAACUGCAUUCGAAACUGGCAGGCUUGAGUCUUGUAGAGGGGGGUAGAAUUCCAGGUGUAGCGGUGAAAUGCGUAGAGAUCUGGAGGAAUACCGGUGGCGAAGGCGGCCCCCUGGACAAAGACUGACGCUCAGGUGCGAAAGCGUGGGGAGCAAACA
RNAcentral lists this ribosomal RNA (670 nucleotides) under Salmonella enterica. Its description in RNAcentral is "bacterial SSU rRNA". It matches the Rfam family "Bacterial small subunit ribosomal RNA", at positions 108 to 774 of the family's 1533-position model. RNAcentral also lists the same sequence under 1 other name. The record is from RNAcentral. Lineage: Bacteria; Pseudomonadati; Pseudomonadota; Gammaproteobacteria; Enterobacterales; Enterobacteriaceae.